CAAUAUGAAAAUAACACUAAGGAUAAGUAGAAUUUACUGUAUUUUCUCUUUUAUUUCAUUUUGUUUAUUUAAAAUUGUUUUCAUUUUCUUCAUUUCAAUUUGUUUAAAUUUUUCUUUUUUUUUUGUUAUCAUCAAAAUGCUAAAAAGUCCUUUUGUUCUUUUUCAUCUAUUUAACCAGAAUUUUUGUUUUAUUUAACUUUUUCUUUUAGUUUUAUUUAAUAAAAAUAAGCUAAGAG
This 236-nucleotide long non-coding RNA is filed under the name Lathyrus oleraceus (garden pea). Its description in RNAcentral is "Pisum sativum (pea) long non-coding RNA (PSAT_LNC041220)". Lineage: Eukaryota; Viridiplantae; Streptophyta; Magnoliopsida; Fabales; Fabaceae. The record is from RNAcentral.